RNAcentral lists this ribosomal RNA (774 nucleotides) under uncultured Neocallimastigales. RNAcentral's name for it is "partial large subunit ribosomal RNA". It matches the Rfam family "Eukaryotic large subunit ribosomal RNA", at positions 22 to 647 of the family's 3401-position model. The record is from RNAcentral. Lineage: Eukaryota; Fungi; Neocallimastigomycota; Neocallimastigomycetes; Neocallimastigales.
UACACGCUGUGACUAGCAUAUCAAUAAGCGGAGGAAAAGAAACUAACAAGGAUUCCCUUAGUAACGGCGAGUGAAGCGGGAAGAGCUCAAAUUUGAAAUCUUCAAGGUUUUACCUUGACGAAUUGUAGUUUAAAGAAGUGUUUUCUGCUGAAGUUUUGGUAAAAGUUCUUUGGAAUAGGACAUCAUAGAGGGUGAGAAUCCCGUAUUUGACCAUUAUUUUCAGCUGUGUGAUACACUUUCAAAGAGUCGGAUUGUUUGGGAAUGCAGUCCAAAAUGGGUGGUAAAUUUCAUCUAAAGCUAAAUAUUGGCGAGAGACCGAUAGCGAACAAGUACCGUGAGGGAAAGAUGAAAAGAACUUUGAAAGGAGAGUUAAACAGUACGUGAAAUUGUCAAAAGGGAAGCGUUUGACACCAGUGUUGUUUUUCUGAAAAUCAAUUAAAGAACUGUUUAUGCUAAGUUGUUUAGACUUUAUCAGCUAUCUGUUUAGUUUUGAGCUUUUCUUUAAUGCACUUUUCAGUUAACAAGUCAACAUCAAUUUCUUUUGCUGUAAAAAAGCUUGAGGAAGGUGGCUUGAGAUUCGUCUUAAGUGUUUAUAGCCUCUUGCCUAUGCAGUCGGAGAGAUUGAGGUCUGCAGCGUAGAUCCUUCGGGGCUAAAUGCAUUUGUGCUAAGUUAUAGCAUUUUAUAGGACAACUUGUUGACUAUGAUUUGUCUUGUAGCUUACUCGCUUAUGUUAUUUUACCUACGCUUAGGAUGUUGACGCAUGAGAUAUACGC